CGAGUCCGAGGAGCUACGGCUCUUAAGUGAUACAAGUCAGACUUCCCAGAAAAGCCCGAACCACGUUAAUUUCUAAUUUGCCUGUACCAUAACCGACACAGGUGGGUAGGUAGAGUAUACUAAGGGGCGCGAGAUAACUCUCUCUAAGGAACUCGGCAAAAUGACUCCGUAACUUCGGGAGAAGGAGUGCCUUAUUUUUAUAAGGUUGCAAUAACAAGAUCCAAGCAACUGUUUACCAAAAACACAGGUCUCCGCUAAGUCGUAAGACGAUGUAUGGGGGCUGACGCCUGCCCAGUGCCAGAAGGUUAAAGAAGUUGGUUAGUUUCGGCGAAGCUGAUGACUGAAGCCCUGGUGAACGGCGGCCGUAACGAUAACGGUCCUAAGGUAGCGAAAUUCCUUGUCGGGUAAGUUCCGACCCGCACGAAAGGCGUAAUGAUUUGGAUACUGUCUCGGAGAGGGGCUCGGUGAAAUAGACUUGUCUGUGAAGAUGCGGACUACCUGCACCUGGACAGAAAGACCCUAUGAAGCUUUACUGUAACUUGAGAUUGAAAUUGGACUUUAUUUGCGCAGUAUAGGUGGGAGACGUUGAGAAUAUUCUUGCGGGAACAUUGGAGUCAUCAGUGAGAUACCACUCUUGUAAUGUUAGAUUUCUAACUUUGUAUCAUUAUCUGGUCAAAGGACAGUUUCAGGCGGGCAGUUUGACUGGGGCGGUCGCCUCCCAAACGGUAACGGAGGCGCACAAAGGUUUCCUCUGAACGUGUAGAAAUCGUAUCUAGAGUGUAAAGGCAUAAGGAAGCUUGACUGUGAGACCUACAAGUCGAGCAGGGACGAAAGUCGGUCUUAGUGAUCUGACGGUGCUGAGUGGAAAGGCCGUCACUCAACGGAUAAAAGUUACUCUAAGGAUAACAGGCUGAUCUCCCCCAAGAGUUCACAUCGACGGGGAGGUUUGGCACCUCGAUGUCGGCUCAUCGCAUCCUGGGGCGGUAGUACGUCCCAAGGGUUGGGCUGUUCGCCCAUGAAAGCGGUACGCGAGCUGGGUUCAGAACGUCGUGAGACAGUUCGGUCCAUAUCCGGUGUAGGCGUUAGAAUAUUGAGAGGAGCCUUCUUUAGUACGAGAGGACCGAGAAGGACAUACCUCUGGUGUACCAGUUAUCGUGCCAACGGUAAACGCUGGGUAGCUAUGUAUGGAGCGGAUAACCGCUGAAAGCAUCUAAGUGGGAAGCCCACCUCAAGAUAAGUAUUCUCGU
This 1247-nucleotide ribosomal RNA is filed under the name metagenome. Its description in RNAcentral is "bacterial LSU rRNA". It matches the Rfam family "Bacterial large subunit ribosomal RNA", at positions 1564 to 2817 of the family's 2925-position model. The record is from RNAcentral.